GAUGAACGCUGGCGGCGUGCUUAACACAUGCAAGUCGAACGUGAGGGUGUAGCAAUAUGCCUGAAAGUGGCGAACGGGUGAGUAACACGUGGAUAACCUGCCCUGGAGUGGGGGAUAACCAUUGGAAACGGUGGCUAAUACCGCAUAGAGCUAUUGAUUUGGGAGAAUCGAUAGGGAAAGCUCCGGCGCUCUGGGAGGGGUCUGCGUCCGAUUAGCUAGUUGGUGAGGUAAAGGCUCACCAAGGCGACGAUCGGUAGCUGGUCUGAGAGGACGAUCAGCCACACGGGAACUGAGACACGGUCCCGACUCCUACGGGGGGCAGCAGUGAGGAAUAUUGGGCAAUGGGCGAGAGCCUGACCCAGCAACGCCGCG
This 372-nucleotide ribosomal RNA is filed under the name uncultured bacterium. RNAcentral describes it as "bacterial SSU rRNA". It matches the Rfam family "Bacterial small subunit ribosomal RNA", at positions 28 to 401 of the family's 1533-position model. The record is from RNAcentral.